AUAGUCUGGGAUACCACUUGGAAACAGGUGCUAAUACCGGAUAAGAAAGCGGAUCGCAUGAUCAGCUUUUAAAAGGCGGCGUAAGCUGUCGCUAUGGGAUGGCCCCGCGGUGCAUUAGCUAGUUGGUAAGGUAAAGGCUUACCAAGGCGAUGAUGCAUAGCCGAGUUGAGAGACUGAUCGGCCACAUUGGGACUGAGACACCGGACCCAAACUCCGUACGGGAGGCAGCAGGC
RNAcentral lists this ribosomal RNA (233 nucleotides) under uncultured Lactobacillus sp. Its description in RNAcentral is "partial 16S ribosomal RNA". It matches the Rfam family "Bacterial small subunit ribosomal RNA", at positions 133 to 354 of the family's 1533-position model. Lineage: Bacteria; Bacillati; Bacillota; Bacilli; Lactobacillales; Lactobacillaceae. The record is from RNAcentral.